Molecule: non-coding RNA, 2572 nt
Organism: Danio rerio (zebrafish)
Lineage: Eukaryota; Metazoa; Chordata; Actinopteri; Cypriniformes; Danionidae
Source: RefSeq, a predicted model, not a curated record
CUGCGUCAUUUCCGGUGUGUGGUAGAUUCCCUUUCCUUUCUGCACAUGAGUCCACCAUCGCCUCCACUUCUCCUCCAGUGUCAGAGUGUGUGUUCUGCUGGACGCUGCUGUUGAGUGUGUGUCCGGUGUGUGUUCUCCUCUCCUCACUCCUGUCCUCCAUCUGUGUUUACUGCUUCUGUCGUCCUCAAACUACAGGUUCUGACAUGAGUGCUGAGAUUCUUAAAGCAAAUGUUUUGAUGGCAGAUUGUGUGGAGAAACAUCAGUGUGAGGCGAGUAAGACUGGAAAGAUCUGCGUCCACACUGAAGUCUCUUAUAGACGACUGACAUCUAAACAUCCCUACACCAACAUCUGACACAUGAACUGCUCUUAGUCUACUUUCUGUCUUAUUUCUGACAGCACAUUAUCUAUUACAAUCAAAUGUUUUUUUUUAAAUGAAUAGUGUGAUCCACAGAUUAUUUAGGGUUUAACAUUUUAUUUUUGACAAUAUUAAUGUUUCAAAAAUUAUUAAGAAAAGCAGAUUAUUAAUAACAGCACAAGGCUGUGUAUGUUUGUAUCUGCAGAUCAUCUGCAUAUCUCAAAAUAAAUUAGUAGUGUAAAUGUUCACUCAUGAAUGAUCACUUAUGUUUCAAAUAUUAACACAACAUAUUUAAUAGUUAUCAGCGUCUGUGAACAUGAAUAAAGCUUAAAGAGAGAGUCAUGAACAAACAAUGGCUCCAUCUAGUGGCUAAUAGCUGAAGUGACAUCAAGACCACUUGUCAAGACCACUUGUCCAUCUGGGUUGCCUUGACCAUCCAGUUUAUAAGAUGAAGAUAGUUUUUAUGAUUGUUUCUGUAUUAGAAAUAAAAAGUCUGACCACUUCUUUACAGAUUUAUUGUUUUUUUUAUUCAACAAAAACAAAACAAACACCAGCAAUAAACUACACAUAUGAUGUCUUCAGAUUUAAGUAAAAUUGGAUUAGGACUUUACUUCAUUCAUAAACUGAUGGGAUUGUGCUCAUAAUAACAAAUAAUAAAAGUUACUGUAAACACAAACAUGUUCAAGCUCAAACUGGUACACAAAGUUCUGCUGUUGUUUAUGAUGUAAACGGCUUGAAACUGUGACAAAUCAAAUUUAUAAUGUGUAAAAUAUACAGAUGAGCAGUACUAAAUACAAUAAUAGCCUAAUAUUUCACCCAGUCUACUUGAUCAUAAGUGAUGAGCAAGAGCAAGCAUUAAUGUUGUCAAGAUUCUGCCCAAGAAAUCCUGUUUCCAUCUGUCCUAUAUAUAUAUAUAUACUGUAGUCAUUUAGUGCAAGAGUUUGACUGUUAAAUGCCACAGGAUGUGAGAAGCGCUUUUCAUGUGUGACUGAAGUGCUGGUUAUGGUGAUGGAGAGAGUCCAGCCUGCUCUUUGUUUUUCUAGGGUACGACCCAAACCACAAAUGUUUCCAGUGGCCUUUGUCACUGUCCUCUUGUGAAUGCUUACGUCUCUGUAUUUAUGAGUUUUGAUCAAGUUAAAAAUAUAUAUUUGAUAUUUUCACUUUCGGAUUAUGAGUUUACAAUUUAGUAAAUUUCACAUUUCAUGUCAAAUCCACACUGAUCAAAUACACACUGCAACUCUGAUACACAUUAUUAAUUUAACAGUAAAGUGUCUGUAGAUUAUCACCAGGCCCACCAUACUAGCACAAACACUUUAUCAAUCAAUCAAUCAAUCAAUCAAAUUAAACUGAUAUAAUAAAAGUGAUCUUGAUCGCUCUUGUUUCACCAUGGGAUUUUUAGACAAGCUGAGACAGGAAACCACAGCCUCGUGAUUGUGUCAGUGCACUAGUUGUGACUUGAGCUUGUAUGGAGUGCACAAAUGGAAUGGAAAGCUUUGCGGUCACAGACAAAAGCAAAAAUAAGUUUCUAGCAACUUUUAAAGACCAAGAGCAAAAGAAACCUUGAGUAAAGACAUUCAUUCUGGAGGUUUAGAAGCCAAAGAAAACAAUCAGCAUGUAGAUGAACGAUGCCAAACAAGAAACUCAUGAAGACGCUCAACACUUCAGGUCAUCUCCAUUACAACAUUAAACAUCACAUCGUCCAAAACAAAAGUCACAACAAUUUAUGAAACUGAGUUCACUCUUGCAUUUUAUUAUUAAACUUGAACAUCUAAAAGAGCUUUUAAAGUGUGUUUAAAGGAGCAGAUGAGAGGAAACAGACCAGAUUAUAAUCGUAAAAACAAAACAACAGCAUAAAGAUUCAGAGCUCUUCCACAGAGAUCCCUCCCACCACAAUGAAGCGGACCUUCACACUGCAGCUGAAGACCCUCACAUUCACAGUCUCUGAGAUGGGGCGAGCGAGACUUACAGUCAUCAUACUUCUGUGUGUUUGGUUGUGUGAAGAGCAGAAAGUGUUUGGGACAGAAGUGGACAUGAGAGUUAAACCAGGAGAAAGCGUCACUCUCUACUGCGCUUUACCUUCUGGAUCAGACAUUAUUUGGAUGAGAAACUGCUCACAUGAGAAUCAGCCAUCUCUGUCAAUAGAUCGCUCAACACUCUUCAAGGAGACGUUUCCACGCUUCAGUUUUGUGCCCAACAGCUCCAGUAACUCCUAUGAU